GUGGGGAAUCUUGCGCAAUGGGCGAAAGCCUGACGCAGCCAUGCCGCGUGAAUGAUGAAGGUCUUAGGAUUGUAAAAUUCUUUCACCGGGGACGAUAAUGACGGUACCCGGAGAAGAAGCUCCGGCUAACUUCGUGCCAGCAGCCGCGGUAAUACGAAGGGGGCUAGCGUUGCUCGGAAUUACUGGACGUAAAGGGCGCGUAGGCGGACAGUUUAGUCAGAGGUGAAAGCCCAGGGCUCAACCUUGGAAUUGCCUUUGAUACUGGCUGUCUUGAGUACGGGAGAGGUGAGUGGAACUCCGAGUGUAGAGGUGAAAUUCGUAGAUAUUCGGAAGAACACCAGUGGCGAAGGCGACUCACUGGCCCGUUACUGACGCUGAGGCGCGAAAGCGUGGGGAGCAAACAGGAUUAGAAACCCGGGUAGUCC
This 425-nucleotide ribosomal RNA is filed under the name uncultured bacterium. Its description in RNAcentral is "partial 16S ribosomal RNA". It matches the Rfam family "Bacterial small subunit ribosomal RNA", at positions 354 to 796 of the family's 1533-position model. The record is from RNAcentral.